RNAcentral lists this ribosomal RNA (314 nucleotides) under uncultured bacterium. RNAcentral describes it as "partial 16S ribosomal RNA". It matches the Rfam family "Bacterial small subunit ribosomal RNA", at positions 495 to 807 of the family's 1533-position model. The record is from RNAcentral.
GUAUAAGAGACAGCAGUCGCCGCGGGAAUACAGAGGGUGCAAGCGUUAAUCGGAAUUACUGGGCGUAAAGCGCGCGUAGGUGGUUCGCCAAGUUGGAUGUGAAAUCCCCGGGCUCAACCUGGGAACUGCAUCCAAAACUGGCGAGCUAGAGUAUGGUAGAGGGUGGUGGAAUUUCCUGUGUAGCGGUGAAAUGCGUAGAUAUAGGAAGGAACAUCAGUGGCGAAGGCGACCACCUGGACUGAUACUGACACUGAGGUGCGAAAGCGUGGGGAGCAAACAGGAUUAGAUACCCCAGUAGUCCCUGUCUCUUAUAC